GAGGGUGUAGCUCAGUGGUAGAACACAUGCUUAGCAUGCACAAGGUCCUGAGUUCAAUCCCCAGCACCUCCA
RNAcentral lists this transfer RNA (72 nucleotides) under Camelus ferus (Wild Bactrian camel). It matches the Rfam family "tRNA". Rfam says of the family: Transfer RNA (tRNA) molecules are approximately 80 nucleotides in length. Their secondary structure includes four short double-helical elements and three loops (D, anti-codon, and T loops). Further hydrogen bonds mediate the characteristic L-shaped molecular structure. tRNAs have two regions of fundamental functional importance: the anti-codon, which is responsible for specific mRNA codon recognition, and the 3' end, to which the tRNAs corresponding amino acid is attached (by aminoacyl-tRNA synthetases). tRNAs cope with the degeneracy of the genetic code in two manners: having more than one tRNA (with a specific anti-codon) for a particular amino acid; and 'wobble' base-pairing, i.e. permitting non-standard base-pairing at the 3rd anti-codon position. Lineage: Eukaryota; Metazoa; Chordata; Mammalia; Artiodactyla; Camelidae. The record is from Rfam by way of RNAcentral.